Molecule: ribosomal RNA, 1018 nt
Filed under: Mucor guilliermondii
Lineage: Eukaryota; Fungi; Mucoromycota; Mucoromycetes; Mucorales; Mucoraceae
Description: LSU rRNA
Rfam family: Eukaryotic large subunit ribosomal RNA
Source: RNAcentral
GCAUAUCAAUAAGCGGAGGAAAAGAAAAUAACAAUGAUUUCCCUAGUAACGGCGAGUGAAGAGGAAAGAGCUCAAAGUUGGAACCUGUUUGGCUUAGCUAAACCGGAUUGUAAACUGUAGAAGUGUUUUCCAGGCACGCCAGAUAAAAAAGUCCUUUGGAACAGGGCAUCAUAGAGGGUGAGAAUCCCGUCUUUGGUCUGAGCAGUUGUCUUUUGUGAUACACUUUCAAAGAGUCAGGUUGUUUGGGAAUGCAGCCUAAAUUGGGUGGUAAAUCUCACCUAAAGCUAAAUAUUUGCGAGAGACCGAUAGCGAACAAGUACCGUGAGGGAAAGAUGAAAAGAACUUUGAAAAGAGAGUUAAACAGUAUGUGAAAUUGUUAAAAGGGAACCGUUUGGAGCCAGACUGGCUUGAUUGUAAUCAUUCUAGGCUUCGGCCUGGAUGCACUUGCGGUCUAUGCCUGCCAAUAACAGUUUUGCUUGGGGGAAAAAACUAUCAGGAAUGUGGCCCUUCGGGGUGUUAUAGCCUGGUAGAAAAUACCCUGGGCGGGACUGAGGAACGCAGUGAAUGCCUUUAGGCAAGAUUGCUGGGUGCUUUUGCUGAUAAAUGCUAGAAUUUCUGCUUCGGGUGGUGCUAGUGUUUAAAGGUAAAACUCGCCUAGUAUAUUUUUUAUUCGCUUAGGUUGUUGGCUUAAUGACUCUAAAUGACCCGUCUUGAAACACGGACCAAGGAGUCCACCAUAAGUGCAAGUAUUUGGGUGCCAAACUCAUAUGCGCAAGGAAACUGAUUGAUACGAAGCCGCAAGGCAGCAGUAUCACCCGGCGUUGACGUUUUAUACUGAAGCGACCGAGGUAAAGCACUUAUGAUGGGACCCGAAAGAUGGUGAACUAUGCCUGAAUAGGGUGAAGCCGGAGGAAACUCCGGUGGAGGCUCGUAGCGAUUCUGACGUGCAAAUCGAUCGUCAAAUUUGGGUAUAGGGGCGAAAGACUAAUCGAACCAUCUAGUAGCUGGUUCCUGCCGA